Notothenia coriiceps (black rockcod) is the source of this 1319-nucleotide long non-coding RNA. RefSeq lists it as uncharacterized. The record is from RefSeq and is a predicted model, not a curated record. NCBI's taxonomy places the organism in Eukaryota, Metazoa, Chordata, Actinopteri, Perciformes, Nototheniidae. The transcript has 2 exons.
AACCUCGGAGUGACCUUCAGUAGCACUUUUAGAUUUGAUAAGCAGGUCAGCAGCGUAGUCAAGACCUGCUUUUUAUAAAUACGACUAUUGGCCAAGACCAAGUCCUUUUUAUCUUUUAAAGACCUGGAAAGGGUUAUUAACGCCUUUGUUACCUCGAGACUGGAUUACUGCAACGCUCUGUACGCGGGUACGGACCAGGCCUCAAUCAGACGCCUGCAGCUAGAGCAGAAUGCAGCUGCACGUCUUCUGACUGGACACAAAGAGCGUGACCACAUCACCCCAUCUCUGGCCUCACUGCCCCGGCUUCCAGUUCGGUUCAGAACUGAUUUUAAAAUCCUUUUAUUAGUUUUCAAAGCCCUGAAUGGGCUGGCUCCUCCUAUGUAGCUGAACUCCUCCAGCGCUACACCCCAGAGCCUUAAGGACUGCUGACCAGCUGCUGCUGGUAGCGCCCCAGAGCCUUAAGGUCUGCUGACCAGCUGCUGCUGGUAGCGCCCCAGAGCCUUAAGGUCUGCUGACCAGCUGCUGCUGGUAGCGCCCCAGACCAGGCUCUAAACCUGAGGGCACUGAGCCUUCAGCUGGCCCUCUGGAUCACUCUGCCCCUCCAUGUGAGGUCGGCCCAGACCCUAGGGGGUUUUAAAUCUACUCUAAAGACUCACUUCUUCUCCCUGGCCUUCUAGUCAGAGCGGAGUAGGCCCAUGACUCCUCCUGACUCCUCCUGACUCCUCCUGACUCCUCCUGACUCCACCUGACUCCUCCUGACUCCUCCUGACUCCUCCUGACUCCUCAUGACUCCUCCUGACUCCUCCUGACUCCUCAUGACUCCUCCUGACUCCUCCUGACUCCUCCCUGAGUUUUCUAUAUCUGUUGUAAUUGAUUGUCUUUAUUUUGAUUGUAGUGUUUUUAUUAAAUGUGCAGCACUUUGGCUCGACCAAAGAUCACUUUCAAACGUGCUUCAUAAAUAAAACUUGAUUUGAUUUGAAUCAACGUAACUCUCUAUUUCUAACGCAUCGACUCACUUCUGAUUGAGGUGACGUUCGCGAACGAUAUGAUUCUUUUGAACGGCUCUUUGGAACGAAGGGAACCGAGUCGUUCUUUUUAUGGUUGGUUCACUGCCGGACAUAGAUCCACUCGGCUUUACGGGGACUCGCUCUCCUGAACGCACAUGAGCCGUAGACGAUGGCGUGACGCAGCUCGAGUUGGAGUUCGAGAGAUGAAGCAAGUUAGACGUCUUCUGAGAGUUAAAGUAGAUUUCUGGCAAAACAGUCAAUCUUUAUUCUGGGGAUUAUUCUGCAGAUAAACCAAGUGACCCCGCCCCCUUA